GACGAACGCUGGCGGCGUGCUUAACACAUGCAAGUCGAACGGAAAGGCCCUGCUUUUGUGGGGUGCUCGAGUGGCGAACGUGUGAGUAACACGUGAGUAACCUGCCCUUGACUUUGGGAUAACUUCAGGAAACUGGGGCUAAUACCUGAUAGGAGCUCCUGCUGCAUGGUGGGGGUUGGAAAGUUUCGGCGGUUGGGGAUGGACUCGCGGCUUAUCAGCUUGUUGGUGGGGUAGUGGCUUACCCAGGCUUUGACGGGUAGCCGGCCUGAGAGGGUGACCGGCCACAUGGGGACUGAGAUACGGCCCAGACUCCUACGGGAGGCAGCAGUGGGGAAUAUUGCACAAUGGGCGGAAGCCUGAUGCAGCAACGCCGCGUGCGGGAUGAAGGCCUUCGGGUGGUAAACCGCUUUCGCCUGUGACGAAGCGUGAGUGACGGUAAUGGGUAAAGAAGCACCGGCUAACUACGUG
Molecule: ribosomal RNA, 468 nt
Filed under: uncultured bacterium
Lineage: Bacteria
Description: partial 16S ribosomal RNA
Rfam family: Bacterial small subunit ribosomal RNA
Source: RNAcentral